Acanthosepion pharaonis is the source of this 110-nucleotide non-coding RNA. NCBI's taxonomy places the organism in Eukaryota, Metazoa, Mollusca, Cephalopoda, Sepiida, Sepiidae. The record is from the annotation of a GenBank genome assembly.
AUGGCUACAUCACGUUGAAACACCAUUUCCCAUACAAUCACCAAAGUUAAGCAAACUCGAGCCUGGUCAGUAUCUAGAUGGGUGACUAAUUGGGAAUAAAAGGUGCUGUU